RNAcentral lists this long non-coding RNA (287 nucleotides) under Homo sapiens (human). RNAcentral's name for it is "non-protein coding lnc-JCAD-7:1". Lineage: Eukaryota; Metazoa; Chordata; Mammalia; Primates; Hominidae. The record is from RNAcentral.
AUUGGAGAUUGGUUGCUUUCUAAAACUGAAGGAGAAGCCCAUGAAGAGAUGGUGGAUUCUCACUGAGUUUUGACUAGCGGAAGAAAAGAGAGAGUUCAAGUGGAUGGCCUUGAGGACUUGAAAAGCUGAGAUAUGAUGAUUUUGAAGUCAUUUCACAUCGAAGCCAUGAUUUAAAUAUCGGCGUUAAGGUAAGUAUUGAGGAAAGAAAUAUGACACUUUUGUGGUUAACACAUUAUUGGCUUUGCUUGCACUGUUAGAAGAGAUUAAAGCACAUUGUGAAGGGUGAU